Molecule: transfer RNA, 83 nt
Filed under: Roseivirga sp.
Lineage: Bacteria; Pseudomonadati; Bacteroidota; Cytophagia; Cytophagales; Roseivirgaceae
Description: tRNA-Ser
Rfam family: tRNA
About the family: Transfer RNA (tRNA) molecules are approximately 80 nucleotides in length. Their secondary structure includes four short double-helical elements and three loops (D, anti-codon, and T loops).
Source: RNAcentral
GGAGGUAGUCCGGUUGGUCGAGGAAGCAGUCUUGAAAACUGUGGGGCUUAAUGGCUUCGGGGGUUCGAUUCCCUCUGCCUCCG